This 89-nucleotide ribosomal RNA is filed under the name Flavobacterium psychrophilum. The record is from RNAcentral. Lineage: Bacteria; Pseudomonadati; Bacteroidota; Flavobacteriia; Flavobacteriales; Flavobacteriaceae.
GCUCACCUCUUCCCAUCUCGAACAGAGAAGUUAAGCCCGCCUGCGCAGAUGGUACUGCAUUUAUGUGGGAGAGUAUGUCGUCGCCUUUC